RNAcentral lists this unclassified non-coding RNA (279 nucleotides) under plant metagenome. RNAcentral's name for it is "partial contains small subunit ribosomal RNA, internal transcribed spacer 1, and 5.8S ribosomal RNA". The record is from RNAcentral.
UUUCCGUAGGUGAACCUGCGGAAGGAUCAUUAUUGGAUAACCGAGGCGCGAGGACUGCUGCUGACCCGAAUGUACGUACACGCCCGCGUGCCCUCUCACACAUCCAUCUCACCCCUACGUGCACCACCGCGCGGGUCCCCCUCUGGCUUGUUCGGAGGGGGUCUUCUGGUUUCCCACGAACUUUGUAUGAAGUGAAGAAUGUAAUCUUUGUUUUUGCGAUUACGCGAUCCAUACAACUUUACACAACGGAUCACUUGGCUCCCGCAUAGAUGAAGAACC